Molecule: transfer RNA, 76 nt
Filed under: Azospirillum lipoferum
Lineage: Bacteria; Pseudomonadati; Pseudomonadota; Alphaproteobacteria; Rhodospirillales; Azospirillaceae
Description: tRNA-Val
Rfam family: tRNA
About the family: Transfer RNA (tRNA) molecules are approximately 80 nucleotides in length. Their secondary structure includes four short double-helical elements and three loops (D, anti-codon, and T loops).
Source: RNAcentral
GGAGGAUUAGCUCAGCUGGGAGAGCAUCUGCCUUACAAGCAGAGGGUGGCGGUUCGAGCCGCGCCAUCCUCCACCA